Mustela lutreola (European mink) is the source of this 1211-nucleotide non-coding RNA. The record is from the annotation of a RefSeq genome assembly. NCBI's taxonomy places the organism in Eukaryota, Metazoa, Chordata, Mammalia, Carnivora, Mustelidae.
UACAGACAACUCACCAUGGAAUUUGUGCUGGGCUGGGUUUUCCUUCUUGCUCUUUUAAAAGCUUCCACCACGGCCCCAUCGGUUUUCCCACUGGCCCCCAGCUGCGGGGCCACCCCCGGAUCCACAGUGGCCCUGGCCUGCCUGGUGUCCGGCUACUUCCCUGAGCCUGUCACUGUGUCCUGGAACUCCGGCUCCUUGACCAGCGGUGUGCACACCUUCCCGUCUGUCCUGCAGUCCUCGGGUCUCUACUCUCUCAGCAGCAUGGUGACCGUGCCCUCCAGCAGGUGGCCCAGCGACACCUUCAUCUGCACCGUGGCCCACCCAGCCAGUAACACCAAGGUGGACAAGAGAGUGACCCAAAGAGGACCUCCUGACACUGACCCAUGCAAAAAAUGUCCCCAACCUCCAGCAUGUGAUAUGCUCGGAGGACCUUCAGUCUUCAUGUUCCCCCCGAAACCCAAGGACACUCUCUCCAUUUCCCGAACCCCCGAGGUUACAUGCAUGGUGGUGGACCUGGAAGACCCUGAGGUCCAGAUCAGCUGGUUUGUGGACAACCAGGAGGUGCACGCGGCCAAGACGAAUUCGCGUGAGCAGCAGUUCAACAGCACCUUCCGUGUGGUCAGUGUCCUCCCCAUCCAGCACCAGGACUGGCUCAAGGGGAAGGUCUUCAAGUGCAAGGUCAACAACAAAGCUCUCCCAUCCCCCAUUGAGAGGACCAUCUCCAAGGCCAGAGGGGAACCCCAUCAGCCCAGAGUGUAUGUCCUGCCCCCACCCCGGGACGAGAUGAGCAGGAACACCAUCAGUGUGACCUGCCUGGUCAAAGACUUCUACCCACCUGACAUCGAUGUGGAGUGGCAGAGCAACGGCCGUCAGUUACCAGAGGCCAGUGUCCGAACAACCCCGCCCCAGCUGGAUGCAGACGGCAGCUACUUCCUCUACAGCAAGCUCUCCGUGGACAAGGCGCACUGGCAGCGGGGAGACACCUUCACGUGUGCGGUGCUGCAUGAAGCCCUACACAACCAUCACACGCAGAAGUCCAUCUCCCAGUCUCCGGGUAAAUGAGCAGCACAGCCGGCCCCGCAGCAAGCCCCCCACCCACAGGCUCUUGGAGUCCCACGAGGACGCCGGAGCCCCCACCCCUGUGUACGUACCUCCCGGGCAGGCGCCCCUGCGUGAAAUAAAGCACCCAGCACUGCCCUGGGACCCAGCGA